AAGUCGUAACAAGGUUUCCGCAGGUGAACCUGCGGAAGGAUCAUUAAUUGAGAUCAUGCCCUUGGGGUAGACCUCCCACCCCCUGUUUCCGUACCCCGUUGCUUUUGGGCGGUCCCCGUCGCAAGACCGGGGCCCGCCAGAGGACCUUUUAAAACCCGUAUUAUCAUUGUCGUCUGAGUACUAUACAAUAGUUAAA
Molecule: unclassified non-coding RNA, 196 nt
Filed under: plant metagenome
Description: partial contains small subunit ribosomal RNA and internal transcribed spacer 1
Rfam family: Eukaryotic small subunit ribosomal RNA (bases 1-46)
Source: RNAcentral